ACGAACGCUGGCGGCAGGCCUAACACAUGCCAGUCGCGCGCGCCCUUCGGGGUGAGCGGCGGACGGGUGAGUAACGCGUGGGAACGUGCCCUUUUCUACGGAAUAGCCUCGGGAAACUGAGAGUAAUACCGUAUACGCCCUUUGGGGGAAAGAUUUAUCGGAAAAGGAUCGGCCCGCGUUGGAUUAGGUAGUUGGUGGGGUAAUGGCCUACCAAGCCGACGAUCCAUAGCUGGUUUGAGAGGAUGAUCAGCCACACUGGGACUGAGACACGGCCCAGACUCCUACGGGAGGCAGCAGUGGGGAAUCUUAGACAAUGGGGGCAACCCUGAUCUAGCCAUGCCGCGUGAGUGAUGAAGGCCUUAGGGUUGUAAAGCUCUUUCAGCUGGGAAGAUAAUGACGGUACCAGCAGAAGAAGCCCCGGCUAACUCCGUG
This 432-nucleotide ribosomal RNA is filed under the name uncultured bacterium. Its description in RNAcentral is "partial 16S ribosomal RNA". It matches the Rfam family "Bacterial small subunit ribosomal RNA", at positions 29 to 507 of the family's 1533-position model. The record is from RNAcentral.